UCAUUGGGAUGAGAAUGUGUGUAUGACUGGAAAUGAAGGGUUCUCUAUAUAUUGUAGUCAAGUGUCCAUAUUGAAACAUCCAUUCAUCAUUAGCAAUUGCUCUAUCAAUCCUGAUACAAUCUCUAUCAGUUUCUCUCUGUUUGUCUGUCCAAGUGUAAUAUUUCCCCUUCUAAGGAAUCUCAUUUAACAGUAGAGUGUUGCAGUAGUCAGAG
This 212-nucleotide long non-coding RNA is filed under the name Nicotiana benthamiana. RNAcentral's name for it is "long non-coding RNA (NBEN_LNC009406)". Lineage: Eukaryota; Viridiplantae; Streptophyta; Magnoliopsida; Solanales; Solanaceae. The record is from RNAcentral.